RNAcentral lists this small nuclear RNA (102 nucleotides) under Nelumbo nucifera (sacred lotus). Lineage: Eukaryota; Viridiplantae; Streptophyta; Magnoliopsida; Proteales; Nelumbonaceae. The record is from RNAcentral.
GUCUCUUUGGAGAAAUCUGAUAAAAUGGAACUAUACAGGGAAGAUUAGCAUAGUCCCUGCACAAGAAUUAUAGGAACAAGUCAAGAAAUGGUCCAUAAUCUU